CUGCCAUCAACGGGAGGCAGGGACGCUGCGUGUGUGAGGUGUGAGCAGGUGGAUGACCUGGUCCGCAUGGUGGCGGAGCUCAAGGAGGAGGUGGAGAGGCUGAGGGCCAUUAGGGAGUGUGAGCGGGAGAUUGACUUCUGGAGCAACUCCCUGCAGGGCAUCAAGGAGAGGUACCGGGGUGAGACACCCCAAACGGGGGUGGACCCCUUGCCCUGUCGCCGUCGGGCUGAGGGAGGGGAUCUGGGAACUGAGGAGGAGUGGAGACAGGUCCCUGUGCGACGUGGCAGGCGAUGCCCUCCCCCUCCGGCCCCACCUUCCCAGGUGCCCUUACAAAACAGGUUUGAGGCCCUGGAGAUUGAGAGACCGGUAGCUGAGGAAGAGAUAGAAAGUGUUCCCAGGAGGAUGCCUAGGGCGAGGAGGUCGACUCCACGCAUCAGGACUGCCUCCACCAAGAAAGAAAGAAGGGUGAUUGUUGUGGGAGACUCUGUCCUUAGGGGGACAGAGGGCCCUAUUUGUCGGCCUGACCCUACCCGUAGGGAAGUCUGCUGCCUCCCUGGGGCCAGGGUCAGGGACGUGGCCAGGAAGCUCCCCAACCUGGUGCGCCCCUCUGAUUAUUAUCCGCUCCUGAUAAUCCAGGCGGGCACUGAUGACAUUGACAACAGAAGCCUGAAGGCUAUCAAAAGAGACUUUAGGGGACUGGGACGGUUAGUGGACGGAGCAGGAGUGCAAGUAGUUUUUUCGUCCGUCCCUACGUUGACAGGAAGGGGUACGGAGAGGACAACGAAAGCCCACCUGUUAAACACGUGGCUCCGGGGCUGGUGCCUACGCAGAAAUCUUGGGUUUUUCGACCAUGGGGCAGUUUACUCAGCACCUGGUCUGGUGGCCGUAGACGGGUCCCUAUCCUUUAGGGGAAAAAGGAUCCUGGGCCAGGAGCUGGCGGGGCUCAUUGAUAGGGCUUUAAACUAGGUAAGAAGGGGGAUGGGGCUGGAGCGAGGACUGUUGGGGCUGUACCAGGGGGAGCAGUGGCAAGGCCGGAGGAUAAGGUAAAGGCCCAGCUGAAGUGCAUCUACACCAAUGCACGCAGCAUGGG
Molecule: long non-coding RNA, 1090 nt
Filed under: Anas platyrhynchos (mallard)
Lineage: Eukaryota; Metazoa; Chordata; Aves; Anseriformes; Anatidae
Description: lncRNA (ENSAPLG00020009580.1)
Source: RNAcentral